CUAAUAUAUAUAUAUAUAUAUAUAUAUAUAUAUAUAUAUAUAUAUAUAUAUAUAUAUAUAUAUAGUUGAGCUAGAAUAUUUUUAGAAGAACCAACCCCUUGGUACUUCUAGGUUUUUAGCCUUUGAAUCUACUCCUUAAUUACUAAUAGUCUUUGAAUCAAAUACUAUUCCACCUACCACUACCUACCACUAUCAUCUCAACCCUAUAUCUCUCUAUCCAAUGACUAAAAACUCAAAAGCACCACUCCUUUGGUGCUUUUGAGAGUAUUCUAGCUCAACUCAUAUACAUAUAUAUAGAGUUGAGCUAGAAUACUAUCGAUAACAAACGGACUCCGUUGCCACCCAUUUAUUUUUCAUGACAGAGCCUUCAAAUCAACAAUCUGCACUGUUAAAAUAAUCUAUAUAUAUACCACUUGAAGUGUUUAGAAAUCAAAAUUCAAAUCUUUUGUGGUCCGGAUCAAUUUGCACAUGUACCAA
Molecule: long non-coding RNA, 477 nt
Filed under: Ananas comosus (pineapple)
Lineage: Eukaryota; Viridiplantae; Streptophyta; Magnoliopsida; Poales; Bromeliaceae
Description: long non-coding RNA (ACOM_LNC007913)
Source: RNAcentral